RNAcentral lists this ribosomal RNA (253 nucleotides) under uncultured prokaryote. Its description in RNAcentral is "partial 16S ribosomal RNA". It matches the Rfam family "Bacterial small subunit ribosomal RNA", at positions 524 to 776 of the family's 1533-position model. The record is from RNAcentral.
UACGGAGGAUCCAAGCGUUAUCCGGAUUUAUUGGGUUUAAAGGGUGCGUAGGCGGGUAAGCAAGUCAGCGGUGAAAGUUUGCGGCUCAACCGUGAAAUUGCCGUUGAAACUGGUUACCUUGAGUGUAGAUGAGGUGGGUGGAAUUCGUGGUGUAGCGGUGAAAUGCUUAGAUAUCACGAAGAACACCAAUUGCGUAGGCAGCUCACUGGACUACAACUGACGCUGAGGCACGAAGGUGCGGGGAUCAAACAGG